This 817-nucleotide ribosomal RNA is filed under the name Methanoculleus thermophilus. Its description in RNAcentral is "bacterial SSU rRNA". It matches the Rfam family "Archaeal small subunit ribosomal RNA", at positions 73 to 896 of the family's 1478-position model. Lineage: Archaea; Methanobacteriati; Methanobacteriota; Methanomicrobia; Methanomicrobiales; Methanomicrobiaceae. The record is from RNAcentral.
GAAUGCAUCUAGAUUGCUCAGUAACACGUGGAUAACCUGCCCUAAGGAAGGGGAUAACCUCGGGAAACUGAGGAUAAUACCCUAUAGGAUACCGAUGCUGGAAUGCCCGGUAUCCCAAAGCUCCGGCGCCUUAGGAUGGAUCUGCGGCCGAUUAGGUCGUUGUUGGGGUAACGGCCCAACAAGCCGAUAAUCGGUACGGGUUGUGGGAGCAAGAGCCCGGAGUUGGAUUCUGAGACACGAAUCCAGGCCCUACGGGGCGCAGCAGGCGCGAAAACUUUACAAUGCGGGCAACCGUGAUAAGGGAACCUCGAGUGCCUGUACAUGCAGGCUGUCUGGGUGUCUAAAACACACCCAAAGAAAGGGCCGGGCAAGACCGGUGCCAGCCGCCGCGGUAAUACCGGCGGCUCGAGUGGUGGCCACUUUUAUUGGGCUUAAAGCGUUCGUAGCUGGGUUGUUAAGUCUCUUGGGAAAUCUGGCAGCUUAACUGUCAGGCGUCUAAGAGAUACUGGCAAUCUAGGAACCGGGAGAGGUGAGGGGUACUUCGGGGGUAGGAGUGAAAUCCUGUAAUCCUCGAGGGACCACCUGUGGCGAAGGCGCCUCACCAGAACGGCUUCGACAGUGAGGGACGAAAGCUGGGGGAGCAAACCGGAUUAGAUACCCGGGUAGUCCCAGCCGUAAACGAUGCGCGUUAGGUGUGUCGAUGACCACGAGUCAUCGAGGUGCCGAAGGGAAACCGUGAAACGCGCCGCCUGGAAGUACGGUCGCAAGGCUGAAACUUAAAGGAAUUGGCGGGGGAGCACCACAACAGGUGGAGCCU